ACACUCCUACGGGAGGCAGCAGUGGGGAAUUUUGGACAAUGGGCGAAAGCCUGAUCCAGCCAUGCCGCGUGCAGGAUGAAGGCCUUCGGGUUGUAAACUGCUUUUGUACGGAACGAAACGGCCUUUUCUAAUAAAGAGGGCUAAUGACGGUACCGUAAGAAUAAGCACCGGCUAACUACGUGCCAGCAGCCGCGGUAAUACGUAGGGUGCAAGCGUUAAUCGGAAUUACUGGGCGUAAAGCGUGCGCAGGCGGUUAUGUAAGACAGUUGUGAAAUCCCCGGGCUCAACCUGGGAACUGCAUCUGUGACUGCAUAGCUAGAGUACGGUAGAGGGGGAUGGAAUUCCGCGUGUAGCAGUGAAAUGCGUAGAUAUGCGGAGGAACACCGAUGGCGAAGGCAAUCCCCUGGACCUGUACUGACGCUCAUGCACGAAAGCGUGGGGAGCAAACAGGAUUAGAAACCCUAGUAGUCCCAUGA
Molecule: ribosomal RNA, 476 nt
Filed under: uncultured organism
Description: partial 16S ribosomal RNA
Rfam family: Bacterial small subunit ribosomal RNA
Source: RNAcentral